AAUUACUUCCCUGGCUUUUGUCCUGUCUGCUGUAGCCAUGCCUCAUUGAGCUUGCUCAUGAUAGUGGUGAAGCUCAGUUUGCAGGAACAAGGAUGACAGUUACUCAUGGCAAGAACAAUUGUGUGUGGAAUGUUUUACUGAAGGAAUCUUGUUGGACUGCAACUAUCACAUGCUUUUGGCUGACCAGGAAAUUCUCCAACUCAUCGCCUGCCAAAGGACCUAUAGAAAUCAACCUGUUUAUGUCUGAGUUAUGACAAACAUUCCAUCACCAUCAAAUCCUGACGUGGGACUUGAACCCAGAGGUAGAGAUGCUAUUGGCUGCACCACGAGACCUCCAUGCUUUGAAAAAUGUACGACUCUUUUAUUGAAAAAUAUAUGGGAAAUCAUCUAGUAAAGUCCUGCAAUAAAUAAGUUUGAAAAAUAACAUUAUUUGAGCAUGCCGUGUGAGCACGUGGCAUUUUUAAGGCUAAAUGAUAGGCAACUAUUCUGGUUUUCUGUCGCUCAUCAGUUUUAGAAAUCAUGACUCUUUGAUCUUACAUUAUUAAU
This is a long non-coding RNA of Rhincodon typus (whale shark), 546 nucleotides long. RefSeq lists it as uncharacterized. The transcript has 2 exons. Lineage: Eukaryota; Metazoa; Chordata; Chondrichthyes; Orectolobiformes; Rhincodontidae. The record is from RefSeq and is a predicted model, not a curated record.